RNAcentral lists this ribosomal RNA (891 nucleotides) under Triticum aestivum (bread wheat). RNAcentral's name for it is "partial small subunit ribosomal RNA". Lineage: Eukaryota; Viridiplantae; Streptophyta; Magnoliopsida; Poales; Poaceae. The record is from RNAcentral.
AUGAGAAACAUCAUGGAGAGAAGCCCCCACGAAUCCUCCUUCUCCUUCUCCCGGAGGCACUUCAAGUGGCCGGUUCUCGGCAAGAGCAGCAGCCAUGGCGCCACUAGCACCGCCGUCGCGGAGGAAGGUUUCGUCAAGAUCAGCUCGGGUAAGCAUGCCGAGGACGACGAAGAGGCGUCCUUGGCUUUCUCCUCCGCCUGCCGGUCCUUCCACUCGGAGGACUUCGUGUCUCCCCCGCCCAAGCCGCUCAAGCAGCACCGCAAGAAUACUAAGCCGGGCCGCACGGCCGUGUCGCGCCUGCGCACGGCGCUGGCAGCGGCAAUCUCCGGCCGGCACCGGCAGGUCAGCCUCGGCUCACGGCUCACCGGCACGCUGUACGGACACCGUCGCGGCCACGUCCACCUCGCGUUCCAGGUCGACCCGCGCGCGUGCCCGGCGCUGCUGCUGGAGCUGACCGCGCCCACGGCGUCGCUGGUUCGCGAGAUGGCCUCGGGCCUCGUGCGCAUCGCACUCGAGUGCGAGCGCUCCAAGGGCGCCUCCGCAUUCCCCGGCACCACCGGCGGCGCGGGCGUCGGCGCGGGCCGGAAGCUGCUGGAGGAGACAGUGUGGCGAGCCUACUGCAACGGCAAGGGAUGCGGGUACGCGGUGCGGCGCGAGUGCGGGGCCGCAGACUGGCGGGUGCUGCGCGCGCUGGAGCCCGUGUCCAUGGGGGCCGGGGUCAUACCGGCGUCCUGCGGUGGCGGCGAGGGCGACGUCAUGUACAUGCGCGCGCGGUUCGAGCGCGUGGUGGGCUCGCGCGACUCGGAGGCAUUCUACAUGAUCAACCCGGACAGCAGCAGCAAUGCCAACAGCGUCGGCCCCGAGCUUAGCGUCUACCUUCUUAGAGUUUGA